ACGCAAGAAAAUAUCUCCAUACUAAGGCUGAUAAAAACAACAUUGUGGUUGAGCGACCUGCACGUAGACUCCCCAUCAGGCCAUCACGUGUACCUCCACCGCUUAGCCUAUCCAUUCGUCUCCAGCGAGAUGCAUCUGUAUCCCUCUCAUCCCCAUCCACAUGUGCUUCCACAGAUAUGUGCAGUCGUUGCUUCAACGCUGCAGAGCCAGCGGGAUUUGCCGCGCUGGGAGAGCCGGCUGUCCGGCGAGCGCCAGCGGGAUUUGUGUCAAUUUUGUGGCUGCAUGCAGUUUCCACAGCAUCUCUUUCCACCGGAGCGCCCGCAGCCCGAUCCCCUCCCCUCUCCUCCGUGAGUAAGAGAGGAGAUAGAGCAGACCGUGCAACUACACACGCAAAGAGAGGACGACAGUUCCUGCUUGAGAGUUGCGGCUUGGCAUGUUCUCCCCUCAGAUCAAGUCAAUGAUACAUGCAAGCAGUCGGCUGCUUCUCACUUGAGGAUCCGUUUGGCAGAGGCGGAAGCACCAGGCAAGUAGGACGCUGAGGCGUUCACUCCGGCGACACCGACACUGACAAUGUGAUCUAAUCGGCGCCGGCAAUUUGAUCCGAUUGGCGGAGUUAAAGACUGCAAUUCUGUGGCCGGUGUAUUCGUCGUUCCACCGCUGCGCCAGCAACAUGAACGCCGGCACAUCCGGAAGCGGCACUGAACACGCCAAGAUCUACACAGUGGCCUUCCUUUUCCCCUGGUUUGGUUGGCUGCGCUAGGCCCAACAGCAGAAGCAUCACUGCGUCUCUCCUCAAAAUUCGCAGGAACCUUGGGUCGACCUCGAGUAUGGAUUCCCUGCCGGCGCCAUGCUACGUGAGGCCCAGCUACAGCAGUCGCUCCGCAUGGCCCUCGUCGAGAUCGUUGGCGGUGAGCAAUACGGAUUCCCGGCCGGCGCCAUGGUACAUGAGGCGGCGUGCCUCGGGUCGGCAGCCUUGCACCCGACAGAUCUUUAGGUUUAUCAAUUUGUUCCGAUUCGAUUCUAGAGAUGCGAUCUGAGGAAAUCGAGAGGAUUAAUUCAUCUUUAUGGCGAUGGCGAUUGGAUUGGUUCUCAGAGUCCGUAUGAUUCUAUUCACGAGUCGGCAGGAACACGCUAUGAACGAACGGACAAGAGUGGUGGGCUGGAUGUAAUGGGCUGACUUCAUUGGCCCAAAUAGAUCAAUAAAACAUAAGGAGCUGUUAAUUAGUACCACCUCGCCUAUAUGUCUAAAUUCAAACUGAAAGCGUAAAUUUAAGGAAAAAAGCGUAUUGUGACGGUGAACCCAACAAAAUCAAUCCGUGCUUUAUUAUUAGGGAGAGAUUAUUAUUAUUAUUAUUAUUAUUAUUAUUAUAUUAUUAUUAUUAUAUUAUUAUUAUUAUAUUAUUAUUACUAGUACAAAUGCCCGUGCGUUGCACCGGGCAAAAAAAAUUGUACCAGUGUUCAUUUCUUAUAUCCAAUUCCAAUAAACUGUCAAUUGGUUUUAUCUUUUGCUUUUCUGGAAAACACGGAUAUUUCUUUACUUUUUAAGAAACUGAACAUUUUUUUAACUUUUUAAUUAGAAUUGGAACAUGUUUUGAACCGAACAUUUUAUGAACACAUACAUUUUUUGUUUUUUUAAUGAUUUUGUGAACAAAUUAAAAUAUGAAAAAAAAUUGAAACCAAGAACAAUUAUGAACACUCAUUAACUUUAAAAAAAACUCACACUCAGUGGCAGUAACUAAAAAAUGAGUGUUGGUGUCCGGACCAUGGAGAAUAGAGUUAAGAUAUUCUACCGGGUGGAGAUGAGUGGUGUAUUUAUUUUUAGUGGGACAUACGGAUGUUGGCAUGUUCUAUACUAUUCGAGAGUUUAAUAACUAAUCUAUUUCUUUUUGGAAAUUUCAAAACAUUUGAAUGCAAACAGACUUAUACUAUGUCAAAUUUUUAUAUUUGUGAGUCUACGUUUGUACUGUGGUUUUCAAAAGAAGAUCUCCUUUAACCUUUGUAUGCCACAAUUUAAUAUGUCAUGUGUUGCACCAGAAGGAAAAAAAUCACCACAUGUUGUUUAGUGAUUCAUUCAUGUUGCCACUUUCCAUGUUCGCCACCGUCGUCAAAGAUGAUACAAUUUUUGGUGUCCGCGGCUGAAAAAAGUUGAUGAAUCCACAUUCAUGUCCCUCGCCGUUGCCUCAAUCAGCAUCACACUAUCACCGGAUGGGAGAGUAGUGGUGCAUUGAAGUGUGAUUGUUUAUAUACACAGUUAUGUGUUAAUAUUCAUAAGCGAAAAGGGUUUUUCUAUGCUGUUUUUCUUUUUAGAAAAUGUUGGUUAUCUGGUUUGCAAAAUUAUAUUAUGUUCCUUUU
Aegilops tauschii subsp. strangulata is the source of this 2352-nucleotide non-coding RNA. The record is from RefSeq and is a predicted model, not a curated record. Lineage: Eukaryota; Viridiplantae; Streptophyta; Magnoliopsida; Poales; Poaceae.